UACGUGGGAAAAUAACCUAUACACGCUGGACU
Molecule: non-coding RNA, 32 nt
Filed under: Vibrio phage 1.161.O._10N.261.48.C5
Lineage: Duplodnaviria; Heunggongvirae; Uroviricota; Caudoviricetes
Source: RNAcentral